Molecule: ribosomal RNA, 496 nt
Filed under: uncultured bacterium
Lineage: Bacteria
Description: partial 16S ribosomal RNA
Rfam family: Bacterial small subunit ribosomal RNA
Source: RNAcentral
GAUGAACGCUGGCGGCGUGCCUAAUACAUGCAAGUCGAGCGAACAGACGAGGAGCUUGCUCCUCUGACGUUAGCGGCGGACGGGUGAGUAACACGUGGAUAACCUACCUAUAAGACUGGGAUAACUUCGGGAAACCGGAGCUAAUACCGGAUAAUAUAUUGAACCGCAUGGUUCAAUAGUGAAAGACGGUUUUGCUGUCACUUAUAGAUGGAUCCGCGCCGCAUUAGCUAGUUGGUAAGGUAACGGCUUACCAAGGCAACGAUGCGUAGCCGACCUGAGAGGGGGAUGCGCCCCGCUGGAACAGAGAAACGGCCCAGACUCCUACGGGAGGCAGCAGGGGGGAAUCUUCCGCAAUGGGCGAAAGCCUGACGGAGCAACGCCGGGUGGGUGAUGAAGGUCUGCGGAUCGUAAAACUCUGUUUUUAGGGAAAAACAAAUGUGUAAGUAACUAUGCACGGUUUGAGGGAACCUAAUCAGAAAGCCGCGGCUAACUCCGU